ACCCACGGAACAAGUUUGUGUUGGCGCUUGAUUCCAGUGGCAAUCGCAUAUGGAAGCUGAGACUGCCACUCUCGCAGAACAGCAGCUUGGAAGCUUUUGCCGGUUCAUUCGUGGGGGAGUCCGGCUAUGUCGACGGCCCCGCGGCAAAGUCACUUUUUAAUCGCCCACAAAGCCUUGCUAUUUGCGACAAUGGCGCGGUCUUUGUGGCGGAUACGAGGAACUUGGCUAUACGCAAAAUCAGCAAGGAUGGCGAAGUGACCACCAUUGCCGGAGGUAGCUCUCGAAAGCCAGGCUUUGCCGGAG
This is a long non-coding RNA of Selaginella moellendorffii, 303 nucleotides long. RefSeq lists it as uncharacterized. The record is from RefSeq and is a predicted model, not a curated record. NCBI's taxonomy places the organism in Eukaryota, Viridiplantae, Streptophyta, Lycopodiopsida, Selaginellales, Selaginellaceae. The transcript is spliced from 3 exons.